UGGGGAAUAUUUGCACAAUGGGGGGCAACCCUGAUCCAGCCAUGCCGGGUGUGUGAAGAAGGCCCUCGGGUUGUAAAGCACUUUCAGCCGGGGAAGAACGCCUAUUCGGUCAAUACCCGAAGAGGCCAUGACAUCUCCCUGCACAAGAAGCACCGGCUAACUCCGUGC
RNAcentral lists this ribosomal RNA (168 nucleotides) under uncultured Halomonas sp. RNAcentral describes it as "partial 16S ribosomal RNA". It matches the Rfam family "Bacterial small subunit ribosomal RNA", at positions 355 to 508 of the family's 1533-position model. The record is from RNAcentral. Lineage: Bacteria; Pseudomonadati; Pseudomonadota; Gammaproteobacteria; Oceanospirillales; Halomonadaceae.